This is a small nuclear RNA of Benincasa hispida (wax gourd), 103 nucleotides long. The record is from RefSeq and is a predicted model, not a curated record. NCBI's taxonomy places the organism in Eukaryota, Viridiplantae, Streptophyta, Magnoliopsida, Cucurbitales, Cucurbitaceae.
GUCCCUUUUGAGACAUUCGAUAAAAUUGGAAUGAUACAAAGAAGAUUCGCAUGGACCUUGUGCAAGAAUGACAUGCACACGUCUAAAUGUAUAAUAUAUCAAA